CUGGCAACAGCCAUGUAAACGGCUAACUCCAGAUGAAAUGAAAUCUUAAAAAGGGGGCUGAAGCAACAUUCUUUGUCCAUCCAGAGGAAGGAAAGCCUAAUCUGACUUUAGAAUUGACUGGAGAAGAGAGAAUAUGAUUUGAGGAAAGCUUCUUGAAAAACUGAGGCAUAGAAGUUUGUAUGAGAGAUUAGUUCAAGGAGGUAUUGAUAAACAAUGAGGAAGAGAACUACAUUCCAGAUUCAAGAAAUGCCAAUGAACAAAAGAAAAGCAAAUGUAGGGAAUUCAGGAAGUUUGAUAUGACUAAAGUAAUAAGAAGAGAAAUAAGAAACAGAAGAUUGGAGCCAGGUUUAAUCAGCCCUUGUUUUACAGUGUGUACAUUGGAGGGAGGUGUAGCUAAUAUGGAACUAGGGAAUAAUUUUGGAGGGCUAGUCGGAUGAUAUGACCAGACUAGCAUUUUGGAAGGGUAGCUGGUGGCAGAUUGGAUGAUGUGCUGAGGAGUGGAUCCAUGUGUAGCCUGUAGACAAGUCUCCUGCGAUAGUUCAAUGAAAAAAAGAUGGAAAUAUGGCAGAGUAAAUGGGAACAAAAACGGGGAUAACCAUCAAAGACAAUUUGACCACACUUACUGUUGGUUGUGCAAGUGAAAACAGAAAGAAACAACUUGGAAGUUUCUAAACUAGGAGGCUGGGAAAAUAGUUUUGUAAUUAUCUUGGGGAAGAUGAUAGAGGUCUUUUGGUACAAAGAGGGAAGAGAGGGAUAAUAAGAACAUGCUGAUUUACAUGGAGAUUACAAACAAGCAUUUGCAAUUCAUUUGUAAAACUCAUAAGGAAAACAAGACUGAAAAAGUGACAUCAAUAGAAGAUACAUCUGUCGUAGAAAGAAACUGGAGCCAUGGAAAGGGAAAAGUGUGCAGAACAUGGUGAAAGAAAACCUCUGGGAAUCCCGAUGAUUCAGGAAAACAUGAACAGAGAUGUCAAUGAGCAGAGUAAGAAAUUCAUGAAAGAGGAGUGUUUUGUUUUAAGAGUAGUGUUAUUGAAUCAAGGGAGAAGUUCACGGAGAUGGAUGAUCUAUGCAUUCAAAUAUCCAGAGACGUUCAAAAUGAUGAAGAAGAAAACCCACAAAAUUGGAUCCAAUAAUGAGAACAGAGUACUAAGGAAAUCUAGAAAGCAAGCAUAAACCAAUAUUUCAAGAUAAUUGGCAGAGAAAGGAAGAGAACAUUAUAAAAAUGGUAUCUGAGGUGCACAUAUUAUCAACAUAUACAACAGCUUCUCAAAGAGAUCAGUUACAAAUGAUCCAAAAAUGCAACUCAGUGUAGAAUAAUGAAUUUUAGCAGGAAGAAGGAUCUACACAGAGACCAGAAAGCCCUGAGACCUGGAACUUCUGGAAUUGCUCUCUUCCACAUGGCUAACCAACAGCAGAGUAACGGAUACAGAAUGAAGGCAGUGAAUAUGAAUGUUGAAGAAUUUGAGUCUAGACUUCAGUGGGUCAUCCAAGUUGGUAAAAGAAAUGUAUUGUAUGUCAUGCCAAAACAAAUCUAAAAGCAUUUGCACUUCUUGUAAUCGAAAAUUUAGCAAGACAUGCAAUCCUCCCUGGACUUCUCAAAUGUCACAGAGGUUUCUAACGGACAAAGGUGAUGAUGCCCCAAAACCUUUGAAAAUCAACGAAGACACUACGAUGAAAAGCAUCAGAAAGCUGUUGUCCAGACUGUGUGUUUUGCUUGCCUAAGAGGUCCAGAAGGACACUGAAGGAAGCUUACUCAGAAUCUUCUGAGAGAUACCAACCCACUGACCAACCUGUGAUUUCUAGCAAUUGUCAAAAAGAGA
Long non-coding RNA from Mustela erminea (ermine), 1820 nucleotides. RefSeq lists it as uncharacterized. NCBI's taxonomy places the organism in Eukaryota, Metazoa, Chordata, Mammalia, Carnivora, Mustelidae. The record is from RefSeq and is a predicted model, not a curated record. The transcript has 5 exons.